UGGGGAAUUUUGGACAAUGGGGGAAACCCUGAUCCAGCCAUCCCGCGUGUGCGAUGAAGGCCUUCGGGUUGUAAAGCACUUUUGGCAGGAAAGAAACGUCGCGGGUUAAUACCCCGCGAAACUGACGGUACCUGCAGAAUAAGCACCGGCUAACUACGUGCCAGCAGCCGCGGUAAUACGUAGGGUGCAAGCGUUAAUCGGAAUUACUGGGCGUAAAGCGUGCGCAGGCGGUUCGGAAAGAAAGAUGUGAAAUCCCAGAGCUUAACUUUGGAACUACAUUUUUAACUACCGGGCUAGAGUGUGUCAGAGGGAGGUGGAAUUCCGCGUGUAGCAGUGAAAUGCGUAGAUAUGCGGAGGAACACCGAUGGCGAAGGCAGCCUCCUGGGAUAACACUGACGCUCAUGCACGAAAGCGUGGGGAGCAAACAGGAUUAGAUACCCUGGUAGUCCACGCCCUAAACGAUGUCAACUAGCUGUUGGGGCCUUCGGGCCUUGGUAGCGCAGCUAACGCGUGAAGUUGACCGCCUGGGGAGUACGGUCGCAAGAUUAAAACUCAAAGGAAUUGACGGGGGUCGAUAG
RNAcentral lists this ribosomal RNA (578 nucleotides) under uncultured bacterium. RNAcentral describes it as "partial 16S ribosomal RNA". It matches the Rfam family "Bacterial small subunit ribosomal RNA", at positions 355 to 926 of the family's 1533-position model. The record is from RNAcentral.